RNAcentral lists this ribosomal RNA (233 nucleotides) under uncultured bacterium. RNAcentral's name for it is "partial 16S ribosomal RNA". The record is from RNAcentral.
CUGCUGCCUUCCGUAGGAGUUUGGGCCGUGUCUCAGUCCCAAUGUGGCCGUUCACCCUCUCAGGCCGGCUACUGAUCGUUGCCUUGGUAGGCCAUUACCCCACCAACUAGCUAAUCAGACGCGGAACCAUCGUAUACCACCAGAGUUUUUCACACCGCUUCAUGCGAAGCUGUGCGCUUAUGCGGUAUUAGCACCUAUUUCUAAGUGUUAUCCCCCAGUAUACGGCAGGUUUC